This 522-nucleotide ribosomal RNA is filed under the name uncultured bacterium. RNAcentral's name for it is "bacterial SSU rRNA". It matches the Rfam family "Bacterial small subunit ribosomal RNA", at positions 8 to 518 of the family's 1533-position model. The record is from RNAcentral.
AGGGUUCGAUUCUGGCUCAGGAUGAACGCUAGCUACAGGCUUAACACAUGCAAGUCGAGGGGCAGCAUUGGAGUAGCAAUACUCUGAUGGCGACCGGCGCACGGGUGAGUAACACGUAUCCAACCUGCCGCUUACUCGGGGAUAGCCUUUCGAAAGAAAGAUUAAUACCCGAUGGUAUAAAGAGUUCGCAUGUUCUCUUUAUUAAAGAAUUUCGGUAAGCGAUGGGGAUGCGUUCCAUUAGAUAGUUGGCGGGGUAACGGCCCACCAAGUCUACGAUGGAUAGGGGUUCUGAGAGGAAGGUCCCCCACAUUGGAACUGAGACACGGUCCAAACUCCUACGGGAGGCAGCAGUGAGGAAUAUUGGUCAAUGGACGAGAGUCUGAACCAGACCCAAGUAGCGUGAAGGAUGACUCGCCCUAGUGGGUUAGUAAACUUCUUUUAUAAGGGAAUAAAGUGAGGGACGUGUCCCUUUUUGUAUGUACCUUAUGAAUAAGGAUCGGCUAACUCCGUGCCAGCCGCCGC